Molecule: ribosomal RNA, 465 nt
Filed under: uncultured bacterium
Lineage: Bacteria
Description: partial 16S ribosomal RNA
Rfam family: Bacterial small subunit ribosomal RNA
Source: RNAcentral
CUACGGGGGGCUGCAGUGGGGAAUAUUGGACAAUGGGGGAAACCCUGAUCCAGCAAUGCCGCGUGUGUGAAGAAGGCCUGCGGGUUGUAAAGCACUUUCGGUUGGGAGGACUGCUUCUAGCACUAAUAUUGUUGGAAGUUGACGUUACCUUCAGAAGAAGCACCGGCUAACUCCGUGCCAGCAGCCGCGGUAAUACGGAGGGUGCAAGCGUGAAUCGGAAUUACUGGGCGUAAAGCGCGCGUAGGCGGCUAGAUCAGUCGGGUGUGAAAGCCCCGGGCUUAACCUGGGAACUGCAUCCGAUACUGUCUAGCUUGAGUACAGGAGAGGAGAGUGGAAUUCCACAUGUAGCGGCGAAAUGCGUAGAUAUGUGGAGGAACACCAAUGGCGAAGGCAGCUCUCUGGCCUGAUACUGACGCUGAGGUGCGAAAGCGUGGGGAGCAAACAGGAUUAGAUACCCGCGUAGUC